Molecule: long non-coding RNA, 3154 nt
Filed under: Canis lupus familiaris (dog)
Lineage: Eukaryota; Metazoa; Chordata; Mammalia; Carnivora; Canidae
Description: lncRNA (ENSCAFG00030014111.1)
Source: RNAcentral
GCUGACUUCUUUAACGAUUUCCUCAUAUCUCUUCUGGCUGUAGGGUGGUUCAGUGGAAUCCAUUUUGUUAACACCAACAAUUAGUUGUUUUACACCCAGUGUGUAAGCCAGAAGGGCAUGCUCACGGGUCUGCCCAUUCUUGGAGACCCUGCUUCAAAUUCACCAACACCAGCAGCAACAAUCAGGACAGCACAGUCAGCCUGAGAUGUGCCUGUAAUCAUGUUUUUGAUAAAGUCUCUGUGUCCUGGGGCAUCAAUGAUGGUCACAUAAUACUUGCUGGUCUCGAAUUUCCACAGGGAGAUAUCAAUGGUGAUACCACGUUCACGUUCAGCUUUCAGUUUAUCCAAGACCCAGGCAUACUUGAAGGAGCCUUUUCCCAUCUCAGCAGCCUCCUUCUCAAAUUUUUCGAUAGUUCUUUUGUCGAUCCCACCACAUUUGUAGAUCAGAUGGCCAGUAGUGGUAGACUUGCCCGAAUCUACGUGUCCAAUGACGACGAUGUUGAUGUGCUGUCUUUUGUUUGGAUUUGGCAAUUACUGGUAGGUUAUUGGUACUUGUAUUAUAUCCAGCAGGAUCUUAGGUGUCUCACGAGAUUUUAAAGGGUUUUAAUAUGUGGCGUGUUCUCUGUGUUUUCCUCUAAGAUCUUGAUUGUUUUCUGUCUCACAUUAAGAUCUUUCAUCCAUUUUGAAUUGAUUUUUGUGUAUGGUGUAAGAAAGUGGUCCAGUUUCAUUCUUCUGCAUGUUGUUGUCGUAUGUUUUCCCAAUACCAUUUGUUGAAGAGACUGACUUUUUUUCCAUUGGAUAUUCUUUCCCGCUUUGUCAAAGAUUAGUUGACAAUAGAGCUGUGAGUCAAUUUCUGGGUUUUCUAUUCUGUUCCAUUAAUCUAUGCCAUAGCAACUUCUUACUAUAUACAUCUCUGGAGGCAAGGGAAACAAAAGCAAAAAUGAGCUGUUAGGACUUCAUCAAGAUAAGCUCCUGCACAGCAAAGGAAGCAAUCAGUAAAACUGAAAGACAACCUAUGGAAUGGUAGAAGAUAUUUGCAAAUAAUGUUUCUAAUGAAGAGUUAGUACCCUAAAUCUAUAAAGAAUUAAUUUAUGAAGCUUAGUACCCUAAAAAUAAAUAAUCCAGUUAAGAAAUGGGCAGAAGACAUGAACAGACAUUUUUCCAAAAGAGAUGUCUAGAUGGCUAAGAGACACAUGACAAGAUGCUCAACAUCACUCAUCAUCAGGGGAAUUCAAAUCAAAAGCAUGAUUAGCUAUCCCCUCAUACCUGUCAGAAUGGUUAAAAUUAACAACAGGUGUGGGUGAGGAUGCAGAGAAGAGGAACCCUCUUUUAGUGUUGGUGGGAAUGCAACUGGUGGUUCCUCAAAAAGUUAAAAAUAGAACUACCCUAUGAUCCAGCAGUUGCAUUACUAGUUAUUUACCCAAAGGCUACAAGCAUAGUGAUUUGAAAGGGCACAUGUACCCUGAUAUUUAUAGCAGCAUUAUUAACCACAGCCAAACUAUGAGAAGAACCUAAGUGUCCAAUGACUGAGGAAUGGAUAAAGAAGAUGUGGUAUAACCACCAAAAAGAAUGAAAUCUUGCCAUUUGCAGUGAUGUGGAUGGAGCUAGUGUGUAUUACGCUAAGUGAAAUAAGUCAGUCAGAGAAAGACAAUAUCAUAUGAUUUCACUCAUAUCAGCAAUUUAAGAAACAAAACAGAUGAAUAUGGGGAAGGGAAAAAAGAGAGGGGGGAAGCAAACAAUAAGAAACUCUUAACAAUAGAGAACAAACUGGGGUGGAUGGGGAGAGGUGGGUGGGGGAUGGGCUAGAUGGGUGAUAGGUAUUAAGGAGGGCACUUGUAUCGAGCACUGGGUGGUGUGUGUAAGUGGAUGAAUCACUAAUUCUAUACCUGAAACCAAUUUUAUCAUAUGUUAACUAACUGGAAUUUAAAUAAAAACUUGAAAAAAAGAAUAAGGCAUGGCUUGUUCUCCAUGAACUUUUCCAAUUGUUUGAAACAAUAAGGCUAGCCACCAAGACAUGAUAUUGUUAAGCUAUAUACAUAUGUAUAUAAAAGAUAUGUCAGCCCCUAUACUAGACUCUUUCCUAUUCUACACAUCUUUUAAUACCAUUCCUGUGAAGGAGACAUCACUUUGCAGAUGUGAACCCUUGACAUUGAGGACUUUCCUACGAUCAGUCAGGUGGUAAGUGGAAAAGUGGAGGCAGCACAUCUGUCUGUAUGACUAGACUUAUUCUUGUUCCAUUAGUAAGAAAAUUACUGAUAAUUUUUUUAGAGUAAGACAGUAUUUCCUUUUCAGUGAAGAUACAACUGAAUUCCAGAGGAUACUCCUGUCAACUCAAGAAUUCCACCAAAAGGCAAAGUGUUUUUUUCCAAGGUAACUUAGUUUUCAGAAAAUGGAGACAUUAAUAUGUUCAUAGGAUGUCCAAUAUCAAUAACCACUUCUUCAGUUUUUCAUAUCGCCACAGCAGAAAGUAGAAAGUCUCAACCUGAGUCCCAGAACAUUUACAUGUUUCACAAUGGAAAGUUGUAGAAACCACCACAGAGAGCCCAGAUGCUUCUACAGACUCUGAAUUAUACCUCCCACUAGCACCAUAGUUUCUUUUCUAGAGAAGCUUAAUGAGCUUCCAGUACUGAGAAACUUCAAGGCUUUUCCAAGGGGGCAGACCUCCCGGUGAAGAUAUGGAUCAAGAAAUCAGGAGAGUGCACAGAACUGUUUGGAUGAAAAGAGGGCUUUGAAAACACAGAUUACUCUGACUUAUACUUCACAGUGAUACCAUAGGACACAACUACAGGCAAGGAGUGGCUUGCUGUGGGACCUGAAGGCUUUGACCAGACUUCACCUUGUGUGGUGGCCCCUGGGGGAACAGUGAACAAUGGAUCUUCCAUCUCCAGGACCAGAGCUGCUUCCUUAUUUACAGGAAAAAACAGGGAGAUUUUCUACAUCUGUAAGCUAAGGAUAAUUAUACUUUGAUUGUUGUUACUAUUAACUGUAAUUUAUGUUUAAAGCACUUCAUGGUUCACAAUAAAUGGCGGCUCAUUAUGAGAAAACAUUUCCUACAAGUAAUUUAAAGUGUAUUGGAAAUUUGCCAGGUGGAAAUGGCUGUAGAAAUACAUCUCUUAUAAUUUGACCUUGAGAAUCUUUAACUCUGACAGGUUAAA